RNAcentral lists this ribosomal RNA (530 nucleotides) under uncultured bacterium. RNAcentral's name for it is "bacterial SSU rRNA". It matches the Rfam family "Bacterial small subunit ribosomal RNA", at positions 774 to 1302 of the family's 1533-position model. The record is from RNAcentral.
AGUAAAUAGAUACUCUGGUAGUCCACGCCGUAAACGAUGUCGACUUGGAGGUUGUGCCCUUGAGGCGUGGCUUCCGGAGCUAAACGCGUUAAGUCGACCGCCUGGGGAGUACGGCCGCAAGGUUAAAACUCAAAUGAAUUGACGGGGGCCCGCACAAGCGGUGGAGCAUGUGGUUUAAUUCGAUGCAACGCGAAGAACCUUACCUACUCUUGACAUCCAGAGAACUUAGCAGAGAUGCUUUGGUGCCUUCGGGAACUCUGAGACAGGUGCUGCAUGGCUGUCGUCAGCUCGUGUUGUGAAAUGUUGGGUUAAGUCCCGCAACGAGCGCAACCCUUAUCCUUUGUUGCCAGCGGUUAGGCCGGGAACUCAAAGGAGACUGCCAGUGAUAAACUGGAGGAAGGUGGGGAUGACGUCAAGUCAUCAUGGCCCUUACGAGUAGGGCUACACACGUGCUACAAUGGCGCAUACAAAGAGAAGCGACCUCGCGAGAGCAAGCGGACCUCAUAAAGUGCGUCGUAGUCCGGAUUGGA